RNAcentral lists this ribosomal RNA (741 nucleotides) under Paenibacillus alvei. RNAcentral's name for it is "bacterial SSU rRNA". It matches the Rfam family "Bacterial small subunit ribosomal RNA", at positions 28 to 749 of the family's 1533-position model. Lineage: Bacteria; Bacillati; Bacillota; Bacilli; Caryophanales; Paenibacillaceae. The record is from RNAcentral.
GACGAACGCUGGCGGCGUGCCUAAUACAUGCAAGUCGAGCGGACUUGAUGGAGUGCUUGCACUCCUGAUGGUUAGCGGCGGACGGGUGAGUAACACGUAGGUAACCUGCCCAUAAGACUGGGAUAACCCACGGAAACGUGAGCUAAUACCAGAUAGGCAUUUUCCUCGCAUGAGGGAAAUGAGAAAGGCGGAGCAAUCUGUCACUUAUGGAUGGACCUGCGGCGCAUUAGCUAGUUGGUGAGGUAACGGCUCACCAAGGCGACGAUGCGUAGCCGACCUGAGAGGGUGAUCGGCCACACUGGGACUGAGACACGGCCCAGACUCCUACGGGAGGCAGCAGUAGGGAAUCUUCCGCAAUGGACGAAAGUCUGACGGAGCAACGCCGCGUGAGUGAUGAAGGUUUUCGGAUCGUAAAGCUCUGUUGCCAGGGAAGAACGCCUAGGAGAGUAACUGCUCYUAGGGUGACGGUACCUGAGAAGAAAGCCCCGGCUAACUACGUGCCAGCAGCCGCGGUAAUACGUAGGGGGCGAGCGUUGUCCGGAAUUAUUGGGCGUAAAGCGCGCGCAGGCGGCAAUGUAAGUUGGGUGUUUAAACCUAGGGCUCAACCUUGGGUCGCAUCCAAAACUGCAUAGCUUGAGUACAGAAGAGGAAAGUGGAAUUCCACGUGUAGCGGUGAAAUGCGUAGAGAUGUGGAGGAACACCAGUGGCGAAGGCGACUUUCUGGGCUGUAACUGACGCUGA